RNAcentral lists this ribosomal RNA (253 nucleotides) under uncultured bacterium. Its description in RNAcentral is "partial 16S ribosomal RNA". It matches the Rfam family "Bacterial small subunit ribosomal RNA", at positions 524 to 776 of the family's 1533-position model. The record is from RNAcentral.
UACGGAGGGAGCUAGCGUUGUUCGGAAUUACUGGACGUAAAGCGCACGUAGGCGGCUUUGUAAGUUAGAGGUGAAAGCCCGGGGCUCAACCCCGGAAUUGCCUUUAAGACUGCAUCGCUUGAAUCCGGGAGAGGUGAGUGGAAUUCCGAGUGUAGAGGUGAAAUUCGUAGAUAUCAGGAGGAACACCAAUGGCGAAGGCAGCUCGCUGGGACGGUACUGACGCUGAGACGCGAAAGCGUGGGGAGCAAACAGG